UGGUAUUCACAAAUGAAUAAAAGAAUACAUCUAAUCAUAAAUAAAUACACUUAUUCAAACAUGAGUACACUGCUAUUUACAAAAGAAUACAUUGUUAUUAACAAAUGAAUACCCUGCUAUUCACGAAUGAAUACCUCUCACGCAUUUCAUCAAACAGCCCAAUCGUCCCAGAUACAAAGCCAAUGAUCCCGAUGUCAAAUACACCCUCCACAACCAAAGAUAAUCCUUAUACAAAGCUGGAAGUAACACAAACCCAAUGAUGCCCCUCUUGCUCAUUGGUAAUUACUCUUUUCCCUUUUUACCCUUCCUUUUGUAUGUGUAAUGUAACAUUGGCAUAGCAUAAACUUUCCCACGCAACCUGUAGAAUGGAUCACUUGAAGAUACAAAAACAAUCAAUGAUGAACUCUAGAGUAUCUACCACACUUUCCCAGCCACCCUGUCAAGAAUGUGUUUUGUUUUUACUCUUCAAAUUGCUCAUGUGAUUCCGAAAUCAAAAUCCACCAAGAAAAAAGUAUAAUCAACUAACCUUAAUAUGUCGUUUCCUGUUAAAAGGGAAAACCACUUCUUUUCCUUCUUUUCCUUCUUCGUGAACUGUCAAAGACACCACCGGAGAUGGAGUUUUCUUCCAGUGAAUAAUAGAGGCAACACCCUCCCAUUUUCCUUCUUAUUUUUCCUGUAAAAAAAAAUCAAACAAACACCCUUUUGAUCGAUUUUUCUGCCUGUUUCAUCAUCCUUCGUGUUAGCUGCCAAAUAACAAAGAAGAGGGUGCAAGGAGAUUACCAGAGACCCUUUCCCUUCCUUCCCGUCGACCCUCGCUGCCAAACCACCCUCACCAAAGCUGUUAUCGUUGAUCGUUUCCCCCAUCGCACCUCACACUUUCUACGGUCGAGCAAUACCCACCAAAACCCUACCUGCGACCCUGUCACUGCUUAUCGGACAUCUUCUGGCCUCACCCCUCGCUCUCCCUUUUCUUCCUAUCGACCAACGACCUAUGAAGAUAUUGUCUUCAUCGCUGCUUCUUCCUAUCUUCUUUCCCUUCGGCCUCGUCGACCCCCGUAGACGAUCUCUUCUCGUGAAUCGAUCGACGAAAAAUCGUGCCGCCUGCGAGCCUUCGUGCUUCCUUCUCGCCGUCUUCCUUCGUUCAUUUCCCUUUCCUUGAUUGAUUAGGGUUUAAAGGAAAAGAAGUGGUUUUCCCUUUUCUUUGACAGUUUACAAAGAAGUGG
This 1223-nucleotide long non-coding RNA is filed under the name Lactuca sativa (garden lettuce). Its description in RNAcentral is "long non-coding RNA (LSAT_LNC004444)". The record is from RNAcentral. Lineage: Eukaryota; Viridiplantae; Streptophyta; Magnoliopsida; Asterales; Asteraceae.